GAUGAAGAACGUAGCGAAAUGCGAUAACUAGUGUGAAUUGCAGAUUUCAGUGAAUCAUCGAGUCUUUGAACGCACAUUGCGCCCCUUGGUAUUCCGGGGGGCAUGCCUGUUCGAGCGUCAUUAUCACCCCUCAAGCUCAGCUUGGUGUUGGGGCCUGCCCGUCACAGGGCAGCCCUUAAAAGCAGUGGCGGUGCCAUCUGGCUCUACGCGUAGUAAUACUUCUCGCGACAGAGUCCCGGUGGUGUCCUGCCAGAACCCCCCAUAUUUUUAAUGAUUGACCUCGGAUCAGGUAGGGAUACCCGCUGAACUUAAGCAUAUCAAUAAGCGGAGGA
RNAcentral lists this unclassified non-coding RNA (332 nucleotides) under soil metagenome. RNAcentral describes it as "partial contains 5.8S ribosomal RNA, internal transcribed spacer 2, and large subunit ribosomal RNA". The stretch from base 1 to 120 matches the Rfam family "5.8S ribosomal RNA", at positions 35 to 154 of the family's 154-position model. The record is from RNAcentral.